Molecule: ribosomal RNA, 245 nt
Filed under: uncultured bacterium
Lineage: Bacteria
Description: partial 16S ribosomal RNA
Rfam family: Bacterial small subunit ribosomal RNA
Source: RNAcentral
UACGGGGGGUGCGAGCGUUGUUCGGAAUCAUUGGGCGUAAAGAGCGUGUAGGCGGCUGAAUAAGUCAGAUGUGAAAUCCCUGGGCUCAACCCAGGAAGUGCAUUUGAAACUGUUCGGCUAGAGUAGGGGAGAGGGAAGUGGAAUUCCUGGUGUAGAGGUGAAAUUCGUAGAUAUCAGGAGGAACACCGGUGGCGAAGGCGACUUCCUGGCCCUAUACUGACGCUGAGGCGCGAGAGCGUGGGGAG